AUGACUGCUGCUAGGAUUGAUGUCCUAUUGUCGGAGAAACAAUGGCAACCGUCGUCAGUCGCACCGUUUUGUCCAUCUAUGAUAUCAUCCAUGUAUAUUAUUUUGUUGACAAUCACCAUAGGCACUCAAAUCACGAGCCAAACAUUGAUGCAGGCUACUAUGGGGGCUAGGAAGCAGGAUCGACUUGAAGCCAACUUAAAAUUAAUUCUAAUGAGUAUUUGGUCUUCAUUCUGUCUCGAUGCAAACACAUCAACGUGUGGACUACAAUCCAUUGAUGCGUGGAGACCAGAUAUUCAUGUAUAUCGGCCUCACGCGUGUCUUUGCUGGAGCCCAUUCAUGGCGAGGAUAUACAUGGUUGAUGGCCCAACGAUCCUUAGGGGAUGGAAGGAUCCCAUGACUAUAGGAAUUGCACUAAAUAAACUGUGUACUAACUAG
RNAcentral lists this ribosomal RNA (435 nucleotides) under Triticum aestivum (bread wheat). Its description in RNAcentral is "partial small subunit ribosomal RNA". Lineage: Eukaryota; Viridiplantae; Streptophyta; Magnoliopsida; Poales; Poaceae. The record is from RNAcentral.